UUGACCUCGAAUCAGGUAGGGAUACCCGCUGAACUUAAGCAUAUCAAUAAGCGGAGGAAAAGAAACCAACCGGGAUUACCUCAGUAACGGCGAGUGAAGCGGUAACAGCUCAAAUUUGAAAUCUGGCUCCUGCGGAGUCCGAGUUGUAAUUUGUAGAAGAUGCUUUGGGAGGUAGGGCCGGCCUAAGUUCCUUGGAACAGGACAUCAGAGAGGGUGAGAAUCCCGUAUGCGGCCGCGGCCUACGCCCGUGUAAAGCUCUUUCGACGAGUCGAGUUGUUUGGGAAUGCAGCUCAAAAUGGGUGGUAAAUUUCAUCUAAAGCUAAAUAUUGGCCAGAGACCGAUAGCGCACAAGUAGAGUGAUCGAAAGAUGAAAAGCACUUUGGAAAGAGAGUUAAACAGUACGUGAAAUUGUUGAAAGGGAAGCGCUUGCACCCAGACUUGGGCGUCGUCGAUCAUCCGAGGUUCUCCUCGGUGCACUCGACGAUGCACAGGCCAGCAUCGGUUUGGGUGGUUGGAGAAAGGCUCUAGGAACGUAGCUCUCUUCGGGGAGUGUUAUAGCCUAGGGCGUAAUGCAGCCCAUCCGGACCGAGGACCGCGCCUUCGGGCUAGGAUGCUGGCGUAAUGGUUGCAAGCGACCCGUCUUGAAACACGGACCAAGGAGUCUAACAUCUAUGCGAGUGUUUGGGCGUUAAACCCAUACGCGGAAUGAAAGUGAACGCAGGUGAGAACCCGUUAGGGUGCAUCAUCGACCG
Molecule: ribosomal RNA, 752 nt
Filed under: Golovinomyces monardae
Lineage: Eukaryota; Fungi; Ascomycota; Leotiomycetes; Helotiales; Erysiphaceae
Description: eukaryotic LSU rRNA
Rfam family: Eukaryotic large subunit ribosomal RNA
Source: RNAcentral